GGCAUCCAAAAAAACUUCAACAGCCUCCAGCUCCACCCAAAGCAUGAAUGCUGCCUGAGCCUUCUCCACUGUUUUUGGUCGACCAGUUAAGCAUUUUGCCACAAUAGCAUCACAAACUUCUUUUGCAUACCUUCCAGCAUCAGCAUCCGCAGCCGCAAGUAAGCUAUCAGCGCAUCAAGAGCCUUCUCUUGCACAGGCGCAUUCGAAUCUGCCACGGUCUUCUUAAAAAAGGGACCUAAUUCGCGAAGGCGUGAGUCCUUUGGAUCGGUGAUUGAAUCGCAUAAACUAGCCAAAUCAAUGUUAGCCUCGUUCCUCACCUUCCAGUUCUUGUGCAAUAAUCGAUCUUCCCACGGCAACUUCUUCGCCUCCUUUAACAAUUUCUCUUCUUCCGACAUUGUUUCCCUCACAAUCUACACCUACACCUUAUCGAUCUCCGUAAUGCAGAUUUUCUUUCCUUUAUUCUGCUUUCCUUUUUUUUUUUUUUUUUUCUCUGCCGAUUGCCGGCGAGAUAUAGAGAGCGGGCGGUGCUGGAGAGGAAAUGACAAAACCAGGAGAUGACGAUAUGU
This 566-nucleotide unclassified non-coding RNA is filed under the name Hevea brasiliensis (rubber tree). The record is from RNAcentral. Lineage: Eukaryota; Viridiplantae; Streptophyta; Magnoliopsida; Malpighiales; Euphorbiaceae.